This 428-nucleotide ribosomal RNA is filed under the name uncultured bacterium. Its description in RNAcentral is "bacterial SSU rRNA". It matches the Rfam family "Bacterial small subunit ribosomal RNA", at positions 355 to 775 of the family's 1533-position model. The record is from RNAcentral.
UGGGGAAUCUUGCGCAAUGCACGAAAGUGUGACGCAGCAACGCCGCGUGGGGGAAGAAGGCCUUCGGGUUGUAAACCCCUUUCAGGAGGGACGAAGUGCCGGCCGUUAAUAGCGGUUCGGCAUGACGGUACCUCCACAAGAAGCCCCGGCUAACUACGUGCCAGCAGCCGCGGUAAUACGUAGGGGGCAAGCGUUGUCCGGAAUCAUUGGGCGUAAAGAGCGCGUAGGCGGUCCGGUAAGUCCGCUCUGAAAGUCCGGGGCUCAACCCCGGGAGGCGGGCGGAUACUGCCGGGCUAGAGUCCGGAAGAGGCGAGUGGAAUUCCUGGUGUAGCGGUGAAAUGCGCAGAUAUCAGGAGGAACACCAAUGGCGAAGGCAGCUCGCUGGGACGGUACUGACGCUGAGGCGCGAAAGCGUGGGGAGCAAACAG